This 3846-nucleotide long non-coding RNA is filed under the name Meleagris gallopavo (turkey). RNAcentral describes it as "lncRNA (ENSMGAG00000017837.1)". The record is from RNAcentral. Lineage: Eukaryota; Metazoa; Chordata; Aves; Galliformes; Phasianidae.
AUGGACUACACUUUAUGCCAAAAUGAGUGGCUAGCCUCUAUACCUUGCAAGAAUCCCUUUUGCUGCUGUCACGAAGGCAGGUGCCACUGGAUUCUGAGAGAGCCACUCACACCAUUUGAGACACAAGAUCUCCAAAUGUCACUCCUGUCUUCAAGAAGGGCACAAAGCAGGUCACAGAGAAACAACAGGCUGGUCAUUAUCACCUCAGACCUGGGAAAGGUGAGGGAACAAAACCACUUCUGGGCAAAUGAAGGACAAAAUGGUGAUCAGGAGUUGUCAGCAUGGUUUCACCAAGGGGAACUCAUACCUGACCAACCUAAUAAACUUCCAAGAAGUAAUAAGUGGCCUAAUGAAUGAAGGGAGCACUUUGGAGAGUAAUACUUUCCACACUGUCAGCCUUAAGAUCCUCACAGAGAAGCUAAUGAACUAUGGGCUGUAUUUACAGCCAGUAAUAUGGAUUGACAUAAAACUGGAAGAAAUGACGGAUGACCCAGAGGGCUGCUGUCCAGAAGGAUCUCAACAGACUAGAGAAAUGGGCUGAAUGGAACCUCAUGAAGUUCAAUAAGCGGAAGAGCAAAGCCCUGCACUAAGUGAGGAACAAACCUAGGCACCAUCACAUGCCAGGGUUUGUCCAGCUGGAAGGCAUUUUGGAAAAAAGGACCUGAGGCUCCUGCUGGACAUCAAGUUGAACAUGAACCAGCAAAAAGUUACCUUGCAUCCAAGAAGACCAAUCAUACCCUGGGAUGCACUAGAGAAAGUAUCACCAGUAAGUUGAGGGAGAUGAUCUUUUCCCACCACUCAACCCUGGUGAGACCAUACCUGGAAUGCUAGGACCAGUUCUGGUCUCGUCAGUACAAAAGAGAUGUGGACGUACUGGACAGAGUCCAGUAUAGGACCAUGAAGAUGACUGAGGGAUAGGAUCAUAUCUCUAUGAGCAGAUGCUGAAAGAGCUACUGAAGAAGAGAAGGCUCAGAGAUCUUAUCAAACUGUAUAAGUACCUGAAGUGAAGCUGCAAUGAGGAUAAAGCCCAGUGGUACUGAGUGCCAGAGCAGGAGGCAAUGGGCACCAACUGGAGCACAGGGGCUCCCUCUGAGCACCAGGCAGCGCUGCUGUGCAGUGCUGGAGCACUGGCACAGGUUGCCCAGAAGCUCUGGGGUCUCCUCCUUGGGAAUGUUCAUAAGCUGCCUGGCCAUGGGCCUGGGUCCCCUGCUCUGGGUGUCCCUGCUGAGCAGAGGAGAUUGAACAAGAUGACCUCUAGAGGGACUUUUCAACCUCAACCAUUCUGUGACACAACUCCAUGACACUAUGAUACAGAUUCUUAUCCAAAGGAUGUCCAACUAUUCCUACCUCUGAAAUAUUUUGAGAACAAAAACAAAAUUUUUAACAGGUUACCUUACGUUCUCAACCAACUGUGUGAUUACUUCUCUACCUUCUCACACAUCUUGUAUUUCCCAGAUUAACCUUAAAUAAGUUUUUCAUCAAUGGAGUUGGACAGCCAGACAUAGCUAAAAAUCCGUUACAGACUCAGAUAGUGGCAGUGAUUUCAAGUGGAAAAUGCCCAGACACUUAUGGGUAGUGGUAAAAUGUCUUCAAGCAUAUACUUCCAUGCUGCUCAUUUCUAUGUCAACUGCACAAAUUAUCCCUACCUAGACUACGUUUUAAAUAUUAUGUUUGAAUGGCAUGACACCCAACUGAAUGGCACCAUAACUGAAGCUUCCUUUUGGGGAUAAUUUUGGAACAUAACCUUGCUAUUAAAUUCUUCUUACAGCCUUGAAGUAUUUGUAAAAUCAAUGAAUAUACAACUUAGCUCAUUCCCUAGUUAUUAAAUAAGAAAACUGAAGAAAGUUGGUUGCCAAGGAAUGAGCAUUCAAAAAAUACAUUAUAACAGCAACUGUAAUAGUAACAGCAUUCAUAACAACAACUACAGCUCAACUGUUUACAAUGAAUAUAGUCUUUUCAGUUUCUUCAAAGCCAUAUGCUUCAUAUGCACAACAGUGGUAACCAGAACAAACUUUGGCUGCAUUGAGGAAACUGGAAAUACAAAGAAGGUAUUAAGGCACUGUGAAUAAAACGCAAUAUUAUGAGUACCUAACCAUAAUCAGGAGGAAAAAAACCUCCACUAUUAGUAAUAUUUACAAUUUAAUACGAACUUCAGCACAAAAAAUUGCAACCAGAGUUCAAAAAAUACAUUGCCUAACAGAACAUCAAUUUUAAGGCCUAUUUCUUUGUUUAAUUUUGUCAAAAGUUCUGUGUAUUUUCAAAAUAUAAUUAACAGAUUUCAUGGUCUGUAAGUAUGAAACUCCAUUUAAGCUGAAUAUUUAAAAAUAAACUAAAAUUGAUUCUGAAUGAAAUUUAAACAGUAACAACAAAUAUGCAUAUUUUAAACCACUUACACAUGGGUUCAAAAGCAAACAUUUUUAUGUGAAUUUAUGAGACAUUUCUAAAAAAUACAGCAAAUUAAACAUUUAAAGUUCAAAUAAUAUCAGGUCACAUUUGAAAUAUCGGAAAAUUGGAAUGGUCUUUGUUCUUCACGUGUCUCAUUAUGAAAAGAAUACUUACAACUUUAUACUUGAAGUUCUACCCUAAGACUGAAUGACCUAGCUUUGCCAGUUUCUGUUAAAUCAUAACAUUUUCAGGUAGCAAGAAAAGUAAAAUUUUUCAUAUGGCUCUCGUUGUGGCUUAGCACUGUAAAAGGUCCAUGAGUGAAAUAUUGGCCCCAUCAAAGUCAAAACUUCCCUGAACUUUGACAGAAUCAAAAUUUCACCUCAUAUCUGCUAAAGUUAUGAAGCUUUACAGAUACUUUAGAAGCAUGAAAAAAAUGAAAUGACAUCUUCUGGUCCUUUAAAAGCUCUUCACACACAUUAUGUAGAUUAGUAUAGCAUUCUAUGCAUGAUCAAUAUCACAAAAACCAUGCAUUUGCAUAGACGUGCUAUAUAUAAUACUGCAUGUCUCACCAUUCAAGCUUGGCAUGCACAGAAAGCACAUCUCUUUACUAAGAGUUCCGUGUGUGGAGUAUUUGAACAAAUAGGAAAAUGAAGCAGUAGUAGUUCCUCAGAUUGGAUUCUAAUGUAAUCAUUUAAGUUAUUGGUAAAAAGGGUCAUACUUGAUUUUCAGUUUUCCCUUUACCAACAAGGGGUUGGAAAGCAAAUAGUGUCAGCUUGUAAAAUGCCCUCAGUAGGAUGUUCUAAAUGGGCAAUUAUUAUAAACAUACUCUCCAGUAUGUUUUAAAGCUAUACAGACAUUACUUAGUCUACAGAGAGCAGCUUACUUACGUCUGGGGCUCCUUUUCAUUUUGCUGUUUUUGCUGUGGUUGUAGAACGUUAUUUACCAGCUCAGUGAUCCCACUAAAGGGAAACCACCUGUUUAAAUAAGCAAAUAAUGUGACUGAAUAACCAAUAAAACCACACUAGUUCAAAUGUUUUCUUAUCCAAUAAUAAUAGAAAUAGACAGGCGGAAAAGCUAGAGCCAAUGGGAAUGCUAUAGCUGCAAUACUAAAUCAGCCACUACAGGUGGAAGGGAAGUAAAGUUUAACAGUUAACCAGUUCACAAGCAGGCAGCAAGAACCUACAUCCAACUAAGAUGUGGAUGAAGUAAGAAGCUGCAGGCAGCUCUCUUACAAGCCAGUCAGGAAGCAGAAGGCAAACUAACUGCAGCCUUUCAGGUAUUAGCUUACACUAAUACCAUCAAAGGUGCCAAAAGCAGAACAUGGCAAAGGUAGAAAAGUCAAGCCUACUGCACUUUUAAGAUAUUUUACUUACUGUGUCAGCUGUGGUUUUUGCUCUUCUUUGACCCUAAAAAGAUAAGUUUGCACAACUGAGUGCAAUAUGUCGUAAAACAACUAUCCUG